This 168-nucleotide ribosomal RNA is filed under the name Hemiodus unimaculatus. RNAcentral's name for it is "partial small subunit ribosomal RNA". The record is from RNAcentral. Lineage: Eukaryota; Metazoa; Chordata; Actinopteri; Characiformes; Hemiodontidae.
CCGCGGUUAUACGAGAGACCCCAGUUGAUAGCUACGGCGUAAAGAGUGGUUACGGGUACAUAACAAAUAAAGCCAAAGACCUCCCAAGCUGUUACACGUAUCUCGGAAGCACGAAGCCCAACUACGAAAGUGACUUUAACAUACCCCGACGCCACGAAAGCUAAGAAA